RNAcentral lists this ribosomal RNA (1040 nucleotides) under Kitasatospora sp. SCAUEIIIA1r-1. RNAcentral's name for it is "bacterial SSU rRNA". It matches the Rfam family "Bacterial small subunit ribosomal RNA", at positions 31 to 1095 of the family's 1533-position model. Lineage: Bacteria; Bacillati; Actinomycetota; Actinomycetes; Kitasatosporales; Streptomycetaceae. The record is from RNAcentral.
UCCCAUUUGCGGGUGCUUAAACAUGCAAGUCGUACCAAUGUAGCCAUUCGGGGUGGAUCAGUGGCGAACGGGUGAGUAACACGUGGGCAAUCUGCCCUGCACUCUGGGACAAGCCCUGGAAACGGGGUCUAAUACCGGAUAUGACCUUCCUCCGCAUGGGGGUUGGUGUAAAGCUCCGGCGGUGCAGGAUGAGCCCGCGGCCUAUCAGCUUGUUGGUGGGGUAAUGGCCUACCAAGGCGACGACGGGUAGCCGGCCUGAGAGGGCGACCGGCCACACUGGGACUGAGACACGGCCCAGACUCCUACGGGAGGCAGCAGUGGGGAAUAUUGCACAAUGGGCGAAAGCCUGAUGCAGCGACGCCGCGUGAGGGAUGACGGCCUUCGGGUUGUAAACCUCUUUCAGCAGGGAAGAAGCGCAAGUGACGGUACCUGCAGAAGAAGCACCGGCUAACUACGUGCCAGCAGCCGCGGUAAUACGUAGGGUGCGAGCGUUGUCCGGAAUUAUUGGGCGUAAAGAGCUCGUAGGCGGCCUGUCACGUCGGAUGUGAAAGCCCGGGGCUUAACCCCGGGUCUGCAUUCGAUACGGGCAGGCUAGAGUGUGGUAGGGGAGAUCGGAAUUCCUGGUGUAGCGGUGAAAUGCGCAGAUAUCAGGAGGAACACCGGUGGCGAAGGCGGAUCUCUGGGCCAUUACUGACGCUGAGGAGCGAAAGCGUGGGGAGCGAACAGGAUUAGAUACCCUGGUAGUCCACGCCGUAAACGUUGGGAACUAGGUGUUGGCGACAUUCCACGUCGUCGGUGCCGCAGCUAACGCAUUAAGUUCCCCGCCUGGGGAGUACGGCCGCAAGGCUAAAACUCAAAGGAAUUGACGGGGCCCGCACAAGCAGCGGAGCAUGUGGCUUAAUUCGACGCAACGCGAGAACCUUACCAAGGCUUGACAUAUACCGGAAACGGCUAGAGAUAGUCGCCCCCUUGUGUCGUAUACAGUGGUGCAUGAUGUCGUCAGCUCGUGUCGUGAGAUGUUGGGUUAAGUCCCGCAACGA